AACUCCCAAACCUUUUUACUUUUCCCUCAAAACUUUUACUCCUUCACACUUUUCCCCCAAAACUUUUACUCCCCUCCCCUCCUAACCCCCCAAUCUACCCAAAAUCCAUUUCCCACCAAAAUUUUACUCUUCCAUUUAACUUUUCUCAAAAUUUUACUCCAAAAAACCGUCAAAACAUUUUAUUUUCCCUCACAAUUUUUACUUCCUCCCACUUUUCCCCUAAAACUUUUAUUCCCUUCCCAUCCCACCUCUCAUCUCCUCCAUUUUUUUUAAUAUUUCCCUCCAAAUUUUUACUCCCCCUAUUUACUUUCCCUCAAACUUUUAUUCCCCAAAAUUUUUUAUUUUCCCCCUAAACUUUUACUUCUCACCCUUUACUCUCAAAUAAAAAAUCAAAAUUAUCAAAAAAAAAAAU
RNAcentral lists this long non-coding RNA (412 nucleotides) under Gossypium raimondii (Peruvian cotton). Its description in RNAcentral is "long non-coding RNA (GRAI_LNC006998)". Lineage: Eukaryota; Viridiplantae; Streptophyta; Magnoliopsida; Malvales; Malvaceae. The record is from RNAcentral.